This 240-nucleotide unclassified non-coding RNA is filed under the name soil metagenome. Its description in RNAcentral is "partial contains 5.8S ribosomal RNA, internal transcribed spacer 2, and large subunit ribosomal RNA". The record is from RNAcentral.
AACGCACGAGACCUGCGGACCUGCGGAGGGAUCAUUGCCAAACUUGAAAAAACCUCUUAAGAAGAAGGAGGGAGGGGGGAGGGGAAGGGAGGAGGAAGGGGGAGGGGAGAGAACCUCAUCUCUCCUUUUCUCUUCUCUUCUCUUUUCUUCUGUCUUCUUCUUCUUGAAGUUCCCCAAAUCAUGUGAACCUUUUACAAAGAAAAGAAAAGUCUUUGUGGAUUUUAGAGAGAAGUCUGUCUC